This 253-nucleotide ribosomal RNA is filed under the name uncultured bacterium. Its description in RNAcentral is "partial 16S ribosomal RNA". It matches the Rfam family "Bacterial small subunit ribosomal RNA", at positions 524 to 776 of the family's 1533-position model. The record is from RNAcentral.
UACGUAGGGGGCAAGCGUUGCCCGGAUUUAUUGGGCGUAAAGAGCGUGUAGGCGGCCAUGUAGGUCCGUUGUGAAAACUCGAGGCUCAACCUCGAGACGCCGAUGGAAACCAUGUGGCUAGAGUCCGGAAGAGGAGAGUGGAAUUCCUGGUGUAGCGGUGAAAUGCGCAGAUAUCAGGAAGAACACCCGUGGCUAAGGCGGCUCUCUAGUACGGUACUGACGCUGAGACGCGAAAGCGUGGGGAGCGAACAGG